Molecule: long non-coding RNA, 286 nt
Organism: Xenia sp. Carnegie-2017
Lineage: Eukaryota; Metazoa; Cnidaria; Anthozoa; Malacalcyonacea; Xeniidae
Exons: 2
Source: RefSeq, a predicted model, not a curated record
UUUCUGUUCCUUAGAGUGUUUGUAUUAACUUUAACAGAGGCGUCGAUUUUAUUUUUUAGAAAAAUGUGAUCACUGUGAUGAUUAUCUUGUAAAACCCUCGUGUGGGCAUGUAUCGUCUCAUAAAAGACCUUAUCGAAACAAUGUGUAAUGGUUUGACCUUACGAAUCGAACGGGAAUAAAUAAAAAUAUAUAUUUACAAAAGCUUAACGACUCGUGUUUCAAGUUUGUUGUUUGACCUUACGAAUCGAACAGGAAUAAAUAAAAAUAUAUAUUUACAAAAGCUUAA